GGGAGAGGGAUUUAAACGAGGGUUUCGGUUUCAGUCGCUCCUCCAUCUCUCUCUGGUGACCCCUUAGCUUCUUCCAUCAGGGUUGUGGCUUUAGCUUUUCUUUGUAUUAAAUCCCAUCAUGAGCAACGAGAAGGAUAAUCUCAGCAUGGCCGAUCUCAAAGCGGUUCUUAACGAAGAGGAUCGAGCAGGCCUUGUUAACGCCCUCAAGAAUAAACUACAAACUUUAGCGGGUCAGCACACCGAAAUGCUCGAGAAUCUGUCUCCAAAUGUUAGACAGCGCGUUGAGCAUCUAAGGGAGAUCCAGAGCCAACAUGAUGA
Molecule: unclassified non-coding RNA, 318 nt
Filed under: Hevea brasiliensis (rubber tree)
Lineage: Eukaryota; Viridiplantae; Streptophyta; Magnoliopsida; Malpighiales; Euphorbiaceae
Source: RNAcentral